Molecule: ribosomal RNA, 774 nt
Filed under: uncultured Neocallimastigales
Lineage: Eukaryota; Fungi; Neocallimastigomycota; Neocallimastigomycetes; Neocallimastigales
Description: partial large subunit ribosomal RNA
Rfam family: Eukaryotic large subunit ribosomal RNA
Source: RNAcentral
CAUAGCGACUAUCGUGGCAUAUCAAUAAGCGGAGGAAAAGAAACUAACAAGGAUUCCCCUAGUAACGGCGAGUGAAGCGGGAAGAGCUCAAAUUUGAAAUCUUCAAGGUUUGACCUUGACGAAUUGUAGUUUAAAGAAGUGUUUUCGGUUAGAGGAGUAGUAAAAGUUCUUUGGAAUAGGACAUCAUAGAGGGUGAGAAUCCCGUAUUUGACUAUUCUUUCUAGCUUUGUGAUACACUUUCAAAGAGUCGGAUUGUUUGGGAAUGCAGUCCAAAAUGGGUGGUAAAUUUCAUCUAAAGCUAAAUAUUGGCGAGAGACCGAUAGCGAACAAGUACCGUGAGGGAAAGAUGAAAAGAACUUUGAAAAGAGAGUUAAACAGUACGUGAAAUUGUCAAAAGGGAAGCGUUUGACACCAGUGUUGUUUUUCCGAAAAUCAAUUAAAAAUUGAUUCAUGCCAGGUUGUAUUGACCUUAUCAGCUUGCAAUUUGGUUUUGGGUCUCUUUUUGAUGCACUUUUCGGUUAACAAGUCAACAUCAAUUUCCUUUGCUGUAAAAAGGUAAGAGGAAGGUGGCUUCAAUUUCGGUUGAAGUGUUUAUAGCCUUUUAUCUCUGCAGUCGGGGAGAUUGAGGUCUGCAGCGUAGAUCCUUCGGGGCUAGAUACAUUUAUGCUAAGUUAUAGCUUUUCAUAGACAACUUGUUGACUAUGUUUAGUCAUGUAGCUUACUCGUAAGUGCUAUUUUACCUACGCUUAGGAUGUUGAUAGUCACAGCGUGUAC